UUGCCAUGGGAACCUCGCCCCUUCUAGAGUCCUGGCCGCUUGACUCAGCUAAGCGCGAAGGUGUUGUUUCUUCCUGAGGUGCGCUGGGGCUGGGACCCGGUCUGCAGAAGGUCCAGGGGAUGGCGUCGGGGGAUUGAGGAGAGGAGACCAAGCCGGCCUUGCCUCCGGGACCAGCGCUUCCAAAUUCUCUGGGGCGUCCCGGCGCGCACACGCUCCUGAGGCCUCGGCGUUCUGAGGAAAGGGGCUGGCGUGGCGACCCGGGUCCUCGAGGCCGAGAUCUGGCUGUGGCCCGCGAAGCCCCGCUUGCCCGCGCCAGCGUCUUGUCACCCCGAGCCGAGGGCCUGCGCGCGGCCGACAGAUAUGGGAUGCUGGAGGACAUCUGGGGGCCACAAAUGCUCCUUCUCCUGGAGACGCAACUCAAGUUCUCAUGGAGUUUUCAUUGUCUCGUGCAAUGCCAUCGACCUUGAAUUUCAGCAUAGGACCCAUAUGAAGUGCCACUGUUAAUGCUGGGAGCACUCCAGGAAGCAGAGAAAAGUUAUGACAUUUCAAGAAAAAUCUGAAUUGCUUGAUAUGUUCCACAGAUUGAGUCUCUAGAUCAAGGGGUUCGUAAGGACCUUAAAGGCUCAUUACACAUAUACAUGGUACUCUAUGGAAAGGACUGUCAACUCUAUGGAAGCGAACCCUGAUAGAACAUCGUGAAAGUCUGGAAGGAUUAUACCACUGAAGAUGCCAUCAUUGUUAUGGAAAAAGCCAUGAAAACCAUCAAGCCUGAAACAAUAAAUUCCUCCUGGAGAAUACUGUGUCCAGAUGUUAUGCAUGAUUUCACAGGAUUGAUGAUAAAGCCAAGCAAGGAAAUCAUGAAAAAGAUUGUGGAUAUGGCAAAAAAGAUGGGGUGAAGGGUUUGAUAUGGAUCUCAGAAAAAUUGAAGAGCUUAAUAGACACCACCCAAGACGAAUUAACAGAAGAUGACUCGAUAGAGAUGAGUGCUUCUGAACCUGUGCCAGAUGAAGAAGAAGAUGUAGAAGCAGCAGUGGCAGAAAAUAAUUAACAUUAGUCUAGAAGAAGGGUUCUGAUUAUUCAGGACCACUUUUGACAUUUUUUAUGACAUGGACCCUUCUGUGAUGCAGGCACUGAAACUCAAUCAAACAGUGGAAGAAGGAUUAAUACCAUAUAGCAGGGGUCCCCAACCCCCAGGCCACCGGAACCAGGCCAUAUAGCAGGAGGUGAGCAACGGGUGAGCAAGCGAACACAAGCUUCAUCUGCAUCUACAUCUGCUCCCCAUCACUUGCAUUCCCACAUAAGCACCACCUCUUGUCAGAUCACAGGAGAGCGAACCCCAUUGUGAACUGUGCGUGUGAGGGAUCUAGGUUGCCAGCUCCUUAUGAGAAUCUAAUGCCUGGUGAUCUGUCACUGUCUUCUGUCACCCCAGAAAGGACCAUCUAGUUGCAAGAAAACAAGCUCAGGGCUCCUACUGAUUCCACAUUAUGGUGAGCUGUCUAAUUAUUUCAUUAUAUAUUACAAUGUAAUAAUAAUAGAAAUAAAGCACACAAUAAAUACAAAGUGCUUGAAUCAUCCCGAAACUACCCCCUUAACCCCAUCUAUGGGAAAAAAGUCUUCCA
Molecule: long non-coding RNA, 1619 nt
Filed under: Homo sapiens (human)
Lineage: Eukaryota; Metazoa; Chordata; Mammalia; Primates; Hominidae
Description: HSALNT0363440
Source: RNAcentral